CUCCAGCUCUCUGAGCAUCUUUGUGGUCCCCUGAUGCACCUUCUCCAAUAGAUCCAUGUCCCUCCUUCUGGAGGACUCCAGAGCUGGCUGCAGAUUCAUUGUUAUAAAAAGUUUUUUACAGGCAUUAUAGUCUGAAGCAGAUAAAAUAGGUCCAUGAGAUGUGGCUAGUGAUUCAAUAGAAAUCUUCAGUCUGCAAGUUCCUAAUACAACUUCCUAGUAGAAGUUGCAGUUCAGGUGAAGAUUUUUUGCUAUGUUUAUAGGUGUUCAAAAAAAAUCUAAAUUUGGUUUCCCUGGUUUGUGUGUAGUUUUAUACAUGAAAACAGCUUAGCCAACUCUUAGAGCUAAAUGAAACAAAUUAGCAAUAGAACAGUGGAAUGAGAUGAAUAAUCCAUGUUCAAUAAAGGAUUUUAAGGUAUGAAGGUUAUUUCAUUAGAGCGUAGAUUAUGCUAAUUCCUUAUAGCCUAAAAACCAAUAAACUGCUAAUUGUAGGAAUAACUUGCUUUGUGCUGUUCAGUUCUCCGUGUCAUUGAAGGUACUGGUUAAAAUGGCAUACCUUCAACAUAAAUAUAAAAUGGGCAUAAACUGGAGAACUGUAGGAUUAUCAUCUCAGUAAGCAGUUUUUUGCAUAUUUAAGAGGUAGUUGCAAUUAUGGCAACAGCAUGGGACCAAUGCAGAGAAUGCCAGGUAGUGCAGGAAACAGAACUGAGAAGGUACAGGAGACACACGAGAUAAAGACCAGCUGCCCAUGUUAACGUGAAGUGAAAAUGCAUUGCUGCCAAUUCACACAGUCUCCUGUAAAACCAGCUGGCUUCAAAAUAAUCUGGAAUAAGAUAUCUGAUGAAUUGUAAUUUUUAAGUGUCCAGGUUAGCCUGUUGAAAAACAGCAAUUCAGAUGAAGCCUUAGGAAGAGCAGUUUGGAGUGCAGACACGAGCUUUUGCAGGCGUAUAGAAUGCUUCAUAAAUUGGUGUUUAUGGUUGUUUAACCAGUGCCCAUAAAUGGCGAUUUAACUGUUCUGUGUUAAUACUGCAGUAACUUUGGGCUCCUGACAUUUAGAAGUGAGCACUCAGUCUUCUGCAGGGGUAGUUCAAAGUUGUCAGCUGGUUUGAACUGCAGCGAGGUGACACAUGGUUUGUUUAACGUGAAUCAGUUGUGGGGGAAAGAGUUUAGUAGAUUCCAGAUGAGCAGCAGUAACUGCUGUAACUAUUUCUAGAGCAGCAAUCGGUCUGUCUCGGUUAGGUUAGUAGUGACAAGUGUAAUCUUCACAGUUGAAAGUGCCAGAAAUGAAAUGGUGAAUUUGGGAGGACACCUCUGCAUAAAUUAAUACUUGAGAAUUUUUUUAAGCAUGUCUGGUAAACAUCCCGGUUUGCCCAAAGUAGUGGUUUUUGUCUGUCUGUUGGAAAUGGCUGUGAGAAUUCAGUCUCUUUUUCAAACAGUGAUGGUUUUUAGGUUGUCAUGGGAGGAAGCUUCACCAGGAGACAUACAAUGUUGAUCAGAACAUGUUGUUUUUCAACAGCUUUGAUCUGAUCUUUGAUCUGGGCUUGUACUUGAUUGACUCUGGGAGAGCAGGCUGCUCUCUCUACAUGACUGUUGUUGAGAUUCGUUCCCCUUCAGGAGCUUCAAGCAGAAGUACUCGAGCUCUGUACUUAGGAAUGCUGGGCUUUGCAAAUCAGCUAGGUAAUUGUGGCUUUUGCCUCAGCUUUAUUCGUUUUCAUAUUAACUAUAUAUUGUUCCAUCGCAGACUUAACGUGUCCAGAGUGUGAUCAGUUGCUGAGAAGAUGGUGAUGCUACUUUGUCCCCAUGGGAGGAAUGUUAGCUGGAGAGCCGGGUGGCUGGUGUUGCUCCAGCUGCUUUGGUGUACUAGAGUUGUGGGGACAGAAUUUGGAAAUGCCUUUACGUUUAUCUGGGAUGGGAAUUCUGACUCAAGUUUACUCACUCAGAUGUGAUGUCACGAUUCGUUAGAGGGAAUGCACAAAUUAAGCUGUUUCCUGUGUUCCUGAAGAGCUGCCUAACUGGUGAUGUUCUUGGCUCAGAAAACAUGGAUAGGCACGGAAUGUGAUAGUUCCAUCUAUGCUGAGGAAAAGAGAAGCCUAUGCUUGUUUCUAAAUCAAGCCUAUUUUUUUUCCCCCCUCUGGCCAGGUAAACCACAGCACAUCUUAUCUGACAGUAUUUGAUGCAAGUCUGAAAAGAUAUGACAUGCAUAUAGUCACGAGUACUGUUGUCUUUUUCUGUUUUUAUUUUUUUAAAGGGAAUUUUCUGGAACACACCUUUUUACUGAGGAUGCAGCUCAGAUCCUCUUGGCAUCUAAGUGGGGAACUGCCUUUUGCAACCUCAUGUACAGGGCUUUGUGUGAGUCCUUUCCUCCUGACAAAUUUGUGAAGGUAAAGAGCAAGGAUGUAUGAUAGCUCUGGCAAAGACCGAUGUUCAGUGUCAAGAUACUAGUUUUUUGGUGAAGGAUGCCCUUGCUCAAACAAGGUUUACAGAUUCUUUGCCAUGGUAUUAAUCCUGCUCUGACAGUGAAUGCAGAAAAGUUAGUUCACAGAUACCUUAGAAACUGCAGGAUCUACUCAAUGUAACCAUUAUUUUAUUCUUUUUUCUUAUUGCAAGGUUUGGGAUGUUCUGAUUGGAGUAGGAGGUCCAGAUCUCUUCAUAAGGUACUAGAUUUUGUCUCUGUACUUGAAAGAGCAUUGAGGAGACUAUCACCGUUAGUGACUGUAGGAGUUCUCAGGUAACAAACUUAGUGGAGAACAAGACAACUUCUGGAACGUGGCACUGAUGUAUCCUUUCAUAGAAUGGAUUAGUGCUGGCUGGAGAAUUGAAUUUAGUAUUUGGGACUGUGUGUUGUUCAAUCUCUUAAAGUCCCUUAAAGUCUUGCACCUCCCAAGUGUAUCUGUCUAUUCUAAUUGACAUGUGCCUUGACAAACUUAGUACAAAUUUUACUUUUUUUGAUUUGUGUGUUUUGCUCAGCUUUUGUAUGUUCUUCCUGUCUUCAGUUUUUCUCCUUACAGUGAAGCCCAGUGAAGUUUUCAUUCCUUAAAGCUUCAGGAGACUUCUGUUAGAACCCACAGUACUAACCCCUGAGAGGUUUGGGAUUUUUAUUUUUAUUUUUUGAAAGGUAUAUAGAAAUACAUUAGCCAGUACAAUUAAAAUAGGCGCAAGCCAGAUGCGUGGUGUUUGGCAGAGGCUUUCUUGCUUCAGCGAUGCUAUAAUGAAUAGAAAACCUUACCACAUAAGCUUUUAAAGGCAGCAUGCCAUUAGCAUGUAUUAAGCCACUGUGUGAUUCUGCAAGAGAAUGAACGUGGCUUUGCAUAAGCUUAUUUUGCAAACUAUUAUGGUAUUUUUUUAAUGUAGUAGUAAUGCUAUAGCAAGCUGCCAAAGGACAAGUGCAGGUAGCAAGUCUAACCAGCGUAAGAGGUAGAACUUUGUUGUGUAAAUUAAUUGUGACCCCUUGUUUCUAUUGCUGAUGUACUAACUGCUCCUUGUUUUUUUACAGUUUGAGUUGUGUUUCAUGAGGGUAUCUCUAAGUCUUGUUUACAUAACAAUUUAUGUUUCCUGAGAAUCCAUUCCAAAUUCAUUGAAAGCUGCACUUCAAGGUAUCAUCAUAGAAUCACAGGCAAUUGAAUUGGAGCAGAGGUAGGUAGGUGGCUGUUACUAAAUUUAGCUAGGCUUUUUUCCACUCCUACUUCAAAUGUGCUGCACUUCACACUCAGAAUUACUGUCUCAGUGCAAAGGAUGUGAAUUCUCAUAGCCUUAAUUUUUUACUUACAAUGUGGGAGAGAAGUAAAAGUGCAUUAUGUUUGGAUUAGCCAUAAAUUAUAUGAGAAGACUCAAGUUUUAAGAAAAUGCAGGUAACCCUGAAGCAUGUAAUAUUAUUUCCAAUACUGAUAAAACUGAUGUAGAAAAAUAUUCCAACAUCUCAGAAUAAAACCAUGAAAAGACAGGCUUGUGGAAAGCCAUUGACCAGUUACCUUGGAAUUUUCAGAUGUAAAACUUUUUCCUUGGAACAGCUGUUUUUUAACAUGGCUGAUCCAGCAUCUUAGCGGCCUCGUGCAUUAUGCUGUGUUUUACGGAGAAUGGAGGAAGGGGAAAAAAGGAAUUGGGGAAAAAAAAAAAGGAAUAUGAAAAGAGAAGUUGUCAUUUGUUGACUAACUGAAGCUAGAACAUCUCUGGUUCUCAGGGCAGGAGACCCAAUAUAGAAAUAGGUUGGAGUUGACCAUUCAGCUCUCCUAACCUUUUUUUCCUUCCCACAGCUGCCCUGCAAUGUUUGUCUCCACCCUUUUGGGACCUGAACUUCUUUUUGCCCAUUUCUUGCACAUACACCUACCCUGCUAGGUAGGGCUGAUUUUUGCUGCCUUCCCCUGAUCUGGUGGGGAAUCUCUUUUAUGUAACUUAGCUAGGCAGUGCCCAGGGACUCCGAGUACUUCUUUAUGAACCAGUGUUUUCUGCAAUUGCUAGGGCAAGUAAUGCCUCUUAAGGUGCAAAGCAUGAAAAAGACGGAAGGAGUAAUUUAGAAAAUAGUCUUUUUACCCUAUUAAUUGCUGCAAUGGCUCUAGUUGGGAAGAGGGCUUGUAAAAAUAAUGAAAAACUGGGUUUAGGAACUUAAGGUUUUUUUAGGUUAGAUAGGUAUAGGUGAAACAGCUGCUGUGUGUCAGGAAUCUAGAGUGCAGAUAUGUGGGGACGAAGAGUGAAGGGGAAGAGCUCAAUGUUGUUAGUGUUCCAUAAUUUUAAAGAGAAGUGCCCGUGUAGCAUAUGCUGACACAUCCAUACAUCAUGAAUAAUUUAGGGUGUGGACAGUGGAGAGGGCAGCCCAGCUGUACCUUCUGAGCCAGCUGCAGCCAACUGAUAAGCUCUUCUAGAAGAGUUGCACUAGGAGGAAGUAGCAGUAAUCAUAGUUUGUGGUUACAAGAUUAUGGGUCAUUGCCGGGAAGCUGGAAGGAUAAACAGCGGAUCAGCAUCCUCGGUAUUAAGGGAACACAACAAAACACAAGAGGUCUUGAAACAUCUCCAAGUUCAAAUUGCCGCCAAGAUGUUCCCUGAACAAUGAGUGACUCUUUCUAGUCAUGCAAUGGCUUUCUCGUGUCAGCGUUCAGCUGCCCACUGUUCACUGUCAGAGCAGGAGAUGGCAGAAGGAAGCUUAGUUGUACCCUUCUGUCCUCCCAAGUAAACCCACAUGGCUGUGACCAGGUGUGGAGGACUCCAAAGUGAAUAUUGAGGAAAAACUGCUAUUUGUCAAUUUUUGAACCACUUCGUUAGACUAAGUUAUGUACGUUCUUAUUUUUAAAUAGUUUUAAGUAUCUUUUUGGUGUGAUUGAAAUCCCUCAGGGAAUUUAGGCCUUCAAAACUGUAUUUGUCGAUAUGGCCACUGCUGAUAAACUGUAUUCAAAAAAUGCUGAGAAAAUUAACAUAAUGGAACUUUGUUGACAGAUGAGUUUCCAAGAUGAUUUUGCAUCUUAAGUCUUGUAAGUGCUGGAUAACCUUUUGGAGUCAUGACAGCUUCCUGUGGUGAAGAAGCCUUUUUAACUGAGAGCCAUACCUUUGGAAAUGAUUGUUUGCUGAAUGCUGUUUAUUUUGCUAGUAUGUAAAAAAUGCCAAAAACUCAGAUGGCUGUUCACUUCUUAACUCACUAAUAAUUAAAAGAUUAAAUACCUUCAGAA
Molecule: long non-coding RNA, 5651 nt
Organism: Calidris pugnax (ruff)
Lineage: Eukaryota; Metazoa; Chordata; Aves; Charadriiformes; Scolopacidae
Exons: 3
Source: RefSeq, a predicted model, not a curated record